AUGUCGUCAGUGUUUUUUACAAAAAAGUCCCUAUGGUAUAGAGUAUUCAACCCGCAGUCCACUAAUAAGUCAACCGGUAUGGGCGAGAUAAAAGAAAAAAAACUGCCUCCAGAUCUCAUCUCGACCUCCAGGCUCCAGGGUGUCGCCAACUCUGGCGGGGGUGGAGAAGGGGAGGAAGAGGGGUGGCGGGGGUGGAGGCGGAGGAGGAGAUCGCGGGCCCUGUGGGGCGAGAUGGAGGAGUACCUCGCCGCGGCCAGCGCUGCCAGCAAGGCCAUGGCCAUGAUGUGGUGCCUCAAAAACAUGAGAGAACUAGAACUGGCUGGUCUUGCCGGUGGAACUGUCGCUGAUCUUGCCGGAGUCGUCGAGGAGCAGGGUCUCAGAAGGGGAUACACGCAGAUUCGCCCAGGGCGGGCCAGAUCGAGGCGGACUCUACCUCGCGCCAGAAGAAGAUGCCACCCCAACACCACCACGAAUCAUGGAGGAGAGGAGUCAUAG
Molecule: ribosomal RNA, 495 nt
Filed under: Triticum aestivum (bread wheat)
Lineage: Eukaryota; Viridiplantae; Streptophyta; Magnoliopsida; Poales; Poaceae
Description: partial small subunit ribosomal RNA
Source: RNAcentral